RNAcentral lists this ribosomal RNA (541 nucleotides) under uncultured bacterium. RNAcentral describes it as "bacterial SSU rRNA". It matches the Rfam family "Bacterial small subunit ribosomal RNA", at positions 777 to 1314 of the family's 1533-position model. The record is from RNAcentral.
AAUAGAUACCCCGGUAGUCCACGCCGUAAACGAUGUCGACUUGGAGGUUGUUCCCUUGAGGAGUGGCUUCCGGAGCUAACGCGUUAAAGUCGACCGCCUGGGGAGUACGGCCGCAAGGUUAAAACUCAAAAUGAAUUGACGGGGGGCCCGCACAAGCGGUGGAGCAUGUGGUGUAAUUCGAUGCAACGCGAAGAACCUUACCUACUCUUGACAUCCAGAGAACUUAGCAGAGAUGCUUUGGUGCCUUCGGGAACUCUGAGACAGGUGCUGCAUGGCUGUCGUCAGCUCGUGUUGUGAAAUGUUGGGUUAAGUCCCGCAACGAGCGCAACCCUUAUCCUUUGUUGCCAGCGGGUUCGGCCGGGAACUCAAAGGAGACUGCCAGUGAUAAACUGGAGGAAGGUGGGGAUGACGUCAAGUCAUCAUGGCCCUUACGAGUAGGGCUACACACGUGCUACAAUGGCGUAUACAAAGAGAAGCGACCUCGCGAGAGCAAGCGGACCUCAUAAAGUCGUACGUAGUCCGGAUUGGAGUCUGCAACUCG